CAAAUAUGUUCUCCCACAGAACAGGGCCCGACAGGAUGUUUCAGUCUACAAAUGUUUAAACAAAAGGUCAUCAAUCAGUAAGAAGGGGGCAAUUUGUUCUGAACAUGGCCUUUCCAGUAAAUGCAGGUUCUGCACAGCCUGCACUGCAUGAAGCACUCACGAUCUCCUACGGUGGCAUCCCCGAUGACAUCACUUGCACAGAGGAGGACUAGUAGACAUCUCACAGGAACACUGCAGGUGUUAAUUAAAAAUGCUCAGAAGAUGCAUGGAAACAUUCGGGCUGAAAAAAUGUAAGAUAGGGCGAAAUCAUAGCAUGAAGUUGCCAGCUUCCAGAGAGCCAGAAGGUGAAGCUGUGCAUUGGUUCCAGCGCUCGGAGGCGAAGGCUGCCAGCAGUGAGCACAGUCUGCUCAGACGUCUGAAGCUUUACCAGAGCUCUUCGUGGUGUGGUUUGGCAAUAGGUACCACUAAAUCAGAGACAUGGACAUCGAUACAGUUGGCUCCAUAAUUGCAAACAGCCGUAAAUCCAUUUAAGCUAAUCCAUGUACCAACUGAAAUAAAAUCUGUAAUCUCC
This 571-nucleotide long non-coding RNA is filed under the name Gallus gallus (chicken). Its description in RNAcentral is "lncRNA (ENSGALG00010002094.1)". Lineage: Eukaryota; Metazoa; Chordata; Aves; Galliformes; Phasianidae. The record is from RNAcentral.